GACGAACGCUGGCGGCGUGCUUAACACAUGCAAGUCGAACGGAAAGGCCCUGCUUUUGUGGGGUGCUCGAGUGGCGAACGGGUGAGUAACACGUGAGUAACCUGCCCUUGACUUUGGGAUAACUUCAGGAAACUGGGGCUAAUACCGGAUAGGAGCUCCUGCUGCAUGGUGGGGGUUGGAAAGUUUCGGCGGUUGGGGAUGGACUCGCGGCUUAUCAGCUUGUUGGUGGGAUAGUGGCUUACCAAGGCUUUGACGGGUAGCCGGCCUGAGAGGGUGACCGGCCACAUUGGGACUGAGAUACGGCCCAGACUCCUACGGGAGGCAGCAGUGGGGAAUAUUGCACAAUGGGCGGAAGCCUGAUGCAGCAACGCCGCGUGCGGGAUGACGGCCUUCGGGAUGUAAACCGCUUUCGCCUGUGACGAAGCGUGAGUGACGGUAAUGGGUAAAGAAGCACCGGCUAACUACGUG
Molecule: ribosomal RNA, 468 nt
Filed under: uncultured bacterium
Lineage: Bacteria
Description: partial 16S ribosomal RNA
Rfam family: Bacterial small subunit ribosomal RNA
Source: RNAcentral